Molecule: long non-coding RNA, 769 nt
Filed under: Saimiri boliviensis boliviensis (Bolivian squirrel monkey)
Lineage: Eukaryota; Metazoa; Chordata; Mammalia; Primates; Cebidae
Description: lncRNA (ENSSBOG00000036628.1)
Source: RNAcentral
AUGUGCCUGUGUGAAUGGUAUCUUCACUGGAGGGGCGUGAGUCUGUUCACUCCCUGCACACAGGAGCAGAACAGGGAGACUCAGAACCUCCUUCUCCGGCAGGCGUUUUUAGAGCUGGCCGUUAGCCAGAGCUGGGUAGCCCACAAGGAAGUCCUGGGAGCCCCCGCCUGCCCUCUCGCUGGGCCUCUGCCAUUUUUCUUCACCACGAGGCUACGCAUCCUCUCUCUUCUCUCCUUUGACAAACCUACUUAUAGGCCCUGCAGCCCCACAUGGACGUACUCCUUCUCCUCCAGACUCGGCAGCUGGAUGGACUCCGCCUCCUGGAAGCCCUCUAGGGAUAGCAAAGUAGCCCAGAGAGAGGCCCAAUCUCAGAGGCCCCGGCCAUACUUGCCGGGAGGGGCUGGUGGCUCCCUGGUCACAGGGAAGGAGAGACAGGGUGUGGAGGAGGCUGGGUCUCUGCCCAACAGGCCCUGGGCUUCAAACCCUGGUGCCCUGGCUCCUGAGCCCCUACUGCCCUCCCCAGCUUGGAUGCUGCACCUUUAUUAAUAUUGCAAACCAACCCCACCCCUGCCAGCCCCCAACCAGCCACUGUUGCCCAUAGACCUGACCAUCAUCAUUAAACCCCUAAGCCCACAUGGGACCCCCGCCGCCCAGCCCUCCCCACCCCAGGCCUGUGCAGUCAGGUCUGCGGCCCCCACCGCGGCGGUUCUUUCCCUUUUUAUCUACUUCGAGCCUCGUUCCUCCCAAUUCCUCGGGAGGCAGGACACAA